RNAcentral lists this long non-coding RNA (315 nucleotides) under Elaeis guineensis (African oil palm). RNAcentral's name for it is "long non-coding RNA (EGUI_LNC020187)". Lineage: Eukaryota; Viridiplantae; Streptophyta; Magnoliopsida; Arecales; Arecaceae. The record is from RNAcentral.
CACGGGCCUGUUGGCGCCUUGUGGGCGUCCCCACCCAAGCUCCUCUGUAAAGGUGUGCACCCCCACUGGAUGGCAUCAGUCAAAUCCUCUCCCGUGGCUCAUCAGUACCAAUGUCUUGAUUCUUAUUAUCUACUUUCUUCAAACACAUUUUAUCUCUUGCGUAUGUACUGCUCGAACCAUCUAAUUACUAAGUUGAAGUCAUAAUGCAAACACAUUCAUAGAUAUGACCAGUUGUCGACAUUGCCCUUCAAAAACAUACCAUCCAUGAAUGAUGUAAGCAAUGAAUUUCAAUUUUCAAUUAUCUGACAAUCACAC